GACUGCUAUCGGAUUGAUACUAAGCCAUGCGAGUCUUUGCAGUAAUGCAAGGCAUACGGCUCAGUAACACGUAGUCAACUUACCCUAUGGACGAGGAUAAUCUCGGGAAACUGAGCAUAAUACUCGAUAGAUCAUAAUGCCUGGAAUGGUUUAUGAUUAAAAUGAUUCGUCGCCAUAGGAUGGGACUGCGGCCUAUCAGCUUGUUGGUGAGGUAAUGGCCCACCAAGGCGAUUACAGGUACGGGCUCUGAGAGGAGAAGCCCGGAGAUGGGUACUGAGACACGGACCCAGGCCCUAUGGGGCGCAGCAGGCGAGAAAACUUUGCAAUGUGCGAAAGCACGACAAGGUUAAUCCGAGUGAUUUCUGCUAAAGAAAUCUUUUGCCAGUCAUAAAACCACUGGUGAAUAAGGGGUGGGCAAGUUCUGGUGUCAGCCGCCGCGGUAAAACCAGCACCUCAAGUGGUCAGGAUGAUUAUUGGGCCUAAAGCAUCCGUAGCCGGCUUUGUUAGUUUUCGGUUAAAUCCAUGUGCUCAACGCAUGGGCUGCCGAAAAUACUGCAUAGCUAGGGAGUGGGAGAGGUAGACGGUACUCAGUAGGAAGGGGUAAAAUCCUUUGAUCUAUUGAUGACCACCUGUGGCGAAGGCGGUCUACCAGAACACGUUCGACGGUGAGGGAUGAAAGCUGGGGGAGCAAACCGGAUUAGAUACCCGGGUAGUCCCAGCUGUAAACGAUGCAGACUCGAUGAUGCAUUGGCAUAAUAGCCAGUGCAGUGUCGCAGGGAAGCCGUUAAGUCUGCCGCCUGGGAAGUACGUACGCAAGUAUGAAACUUAAAGGAAUUGGCGGGGGAGCACCACAAGGGGUGAAGCCUGCGGUCAAU
Molecule: ribosomal RNA, 875 nt
Filed under: uncultured marine group I thaumarchaeote
Lineage: Archaea; Thermoproteati; Nitrososphaerota
Description: SSU rRNA
Rfam family: Archaeal small subunit ribosomal RNA
Source: RNAcentral